GGGCCCUUAGCUCAGUUGGUUAGAGCAGUGGACUCAUAAUCCAUUGGUCCGGGGUUCAAGUCCCUGAGGGCCCACCA
Molecule: transfer RNA, 77 nt
Filed under: Fidelibacterota bacterium
Lineage: Bacteria; Pseudomonadati; Fidelibacterota
Description: tRNA-Ile
Rfam family: tRNA
About the family: Transfer RNA (tRNA) molecules are approximately 80 nucleotides in length.
Source: RNAcentral